Molecule: ribosomal RNA, 381 nt
Filed under: uncultured eukaryote
Lineage: Eukaryota
Description: partial 18S ribosomal RNA
Rfam family: Eukaryotic small subunit ribosomal RNA
Source: RNAcentral
CAAUAGCGUAUAUUAAAGUUGUUGCGGUUAAAAAGCUCGUAGUUGGAUUUCUGUUGGGAACGACCGGUCCGCCCAUUGGGUGUGUAUCUGGCUUGUUCUCGGCAUCUUCUUGGUGAACGUUGCUGCACUUGACUGUGUGGAGCGCUACCCAGGACUUUUACUUUGAGGAAAUUAGAGUGUUUCAAGCAGGCAUAUGCCUUGAAUACAUUAGCAUGGAAUAAUAAGAUAGGACCUCGGUUCUAUUUUGUUGGUUUCUAGAGCUGAGGUAAUGAUUAAUAGGGAUAGUUGGGGGCAUUCGUAUUUAACUGUCAGAGGUGAAAUUCUUGGAUUUGUUAAAGACGGACUACUGCGAAAAGCAUUUGCCAAGGAUGUUUUCAUUGA